RNAcentral lists this ribosomal RNA (305 nucleotides) under uncultured bacterium. RNAcentral's name for it is "bacterial SSU rRNA". It matches the Rfam family "Bacterial small subunit ribosomal RNA", at positions 333 to 649 of the family's 1533-position model. The record is from RNAcentral.
UGUAACCUACGGGACGCAGCAGUCGAGAAUCAUUCACAAUGGGGGAAACCCUGAUGGUGCGACGCCGCGUGGGGGAAUGAAGGUCUUCGGAUUGUAAACCCCAGUCAUGUGGGAGCAAAUUAAAAAGAUAGUACCACAAGAGGAAGAGACGGCUAACUCUGUGCCAGCAGCCGCGGUAAUACAGAGGUCACAAGCGUUGUUCGGAAUCACUGGGCGUAAAGCGUGCGUAGGCUGUUUCGUAAGUCGUGUGUGAAAGGCGCGGGCUCAACCCGCGGACGGCACAUGAUACUGCGAUACUAGAGUAA